AAGUCGUAACAAGGUUUCCGUAGGUGAACCUGCGGAAGGAUCAUUAGAGAAAUUGUACCAAAACAAUAUGGACAAUCCAUCCAUAUUAUCCCACCUUGUGUGCAUCCAUUGAAACCAUGCUUUGGGAGGUUCUCUCUCUCUUUGGAGAGAGGGACUUCAAGCCUCCCAAGGUUUUUUUCCCUUGUACACCUUUCUUUCUUGUUUCUCCUGAAAAUAGAACAAAAUAAAAUAAAAAAAUACAACUUUCAACAACGGAUCUCUUGGCUCUC
This 269-nucleotide unclassified non-coding RNA is filed under the name fungal sp. RNAcentral's name for it is "partial internal transcribed spacer region". The stretch from base 1 to 46 matches the Rfam family "Eukaryotic small subunit ribosomal RNA", at positions 1786 to 1831 of the family's 1831-position model. The record is from RNAcentral. Lineage: Eukaryota; Fungi.